This 442-nucleotide ribosomal RNA is filed under the name uncultured bacterium. Its description in RNAcentral is "partial 16S ribosomal RNA". It matches the Rfam family "Bacterial small subunit ribosomal RNA", at positions 338 to 795 of the family's 1533-position model. The record is from RNAcentral.
CCUACGGGUGGCAGCAGUAGGGAAUCUUUCACAAUGCGCGAAAGCCUGAUGGAGCAACGCCGCGUGCAGGAUGAAGGCCUUCGGGUUGUAAACUGCUUUUAUAAGCGAGAAAUAUGAUGGUAACUUAUGAAUAAGGAUCGGCUAACUACGGGCCAGCAGCCGCGGUCAUACGUAGGAUCCGAGCAUUAUCCGGAGUGACUGGGUGUAAAGAGUUGCGUAGGUGGCAUAAUAAGUAGCUAGUGAAAUCUGGUGGCUCAACCAUUCAGACUAUUAGCUAAACUGUUAAGCUCGAGAACGUUAGGGGUAACUGGAAUUUCUGGUGUAGGAGUGAAAUCCGUAGAUAUUAGAAGGAACACCAAUAGCGUAGGCAGGUUACUGGGACGGUUCUGACACUAAGGCACGAAAGCGUAGGGAGCAAACGGGAUUAGAUACCCCAGUAGUC